Molecule: long non-coding RNA, 1341 nt
Filed under: Numida meleagris (helmeted guineafowl)
Lineage: Eukaryota; Metazoa; Chordata; Aves; Galliformes; Numididae
Description: lncRNA (ENSNMEG00000013095.1)
Source: RNAcentral
UAAGAAAAUUGUAGAGCGUUAGUUUAAGAAGUUUACUUUGGAUCAAGUGAUCAAAGGGUAAAAAAGGGGGCAGGUAAGCAAUCUUUUUUUAUUUUAAAUGGCCAAUCUUUGUGAAGCUCUCUGUUGUGCUGUGCUUAAAAUCUUCAUUGCAGUAUUUGCAUCUUUGUUUUGAUGACAACGUGGAGUUUGGAUACAGGUGAACUGAGAAAAAUAUUUAAGAAAAGGCUGAGGUCAGAAGAGGAGAUAAGAGCGGCAGGGUAGACACUAGGAGGAAGCAGGAAGCCAGUGGCAAGGCUGAUGUCCCAAGAUAAAGAAAAUUCAAGAAGAAAGUAAAAAUUGUCAAGAAUCAAAAUGAGAUGGAUUUCAAAAAGGAUAUUAAUAUAAAUAGUAAUAAAAAAAUGUAACAGCAAAAACAAUAUUAAAAACCGUCAGCCAUCAGGAAAAUGAGCAGUGGGGCUGUCAUGUGGUGAGGAUAGGGUGGAAAUAAAUAGAGUCAGUUUGUCACCAAAAUGAAAUGAAUGUUUUAGUUUUGUUCUCAGCAGAAACAUGGUGAGGAAUACAAAAAGGGAAAAAGCAGAGUGGGAACGAGAGCUGAAAACUAUUGUUUCUCAGAUGAAAGCAAAUUAGAAGUUGCUCAGCAUGGUUCAGGGUGUGCUGGCAACGCACCAGGUGGAAAACUGUGACCUUGGAGCUGCAUGGGAACUGCCAGGGCUGUUCUCUAGCUGGGAGGAGGAAGUGGAUCGAGCUGAGAGGGAACUGGGACAUUUUCCUGAUUCCUAGAGGUCCACCCUAAGAAACCUACAGGUCAGCCCCAGACAAAUCUUGGCUAUUCUCACUGUGAUGCUGGUGCAUACUCAAGAAGGAGAGAGGAGCUGUAUUCUACAGCUGGCAAGCAACAAGAAAGAAGUGAUGGAGUCAUUAGUUUCACUCAUCUGGCUAAUAGGGCAGCAGAACAGCUGAUCCUCCUGGGUCUGGAGAUUCCUUCCUGAUGUCUCUCCUGCUCAGUGUUACACAACUCAGCAGAAUAUUGAGUUCUGGGUUGACCAUGAGCUCCUGGUCUGAUUGUCUCCUUCCAGCUUGGGAAGACCUGAAAAAAGGCAACUUCUCAUGGCAGUUAAGUCUUUACUCUGUCAAACUCCCAUGUCUUUGUUGAGUGAGGGUCAGACUGUAUGAGAGGAUUGCAAACAGAGUGGGGGGGGGGGAGCAAGCAAUACAGUAAUUGGAAGUAGAGAAAAAUGAUUUGUGUACCCCUGGUGUUUAUGUGCAAGCACACAUACAUGAGUCAGACCAAAGCUUGUCUAGAUUAUUAUCCUGCCCCCAGCUUUGGGCAAUAGGAGAUGC